UGGGGAUUAGCCAAGCGGUAAGGCAACGGACUUUGACUCCGUCAUUCCCAGGUUCGAACCCUGGAUCCCCAG
Molecule: transfer RNA, 72 nt
Filed under: Paenibacillus pasadenensis
Lineage: Bacteria; Bacillati; Bacillota; Bacilli; Caryophanales; Paenibacillaceae
Also listed under: 1 other name
Description: tRNA-Gln
Rfam family: tRNA
About the family: Transfer RNA (tRNA) molecules are approximately 80 nucleotides in length.
Source: RNAcentral